CCCCUAGAUGUUCUGGGCCGCACGCGCGCUACACUGAACAGUUCAACAAGUCUUAACCUUGGCCGAUAGGUCUGGGUAAUCUUUGAACGCUGUUCGUGAUUGGGAUAGACCUUUGCAAUUAUGGGUCUUCAACGAGGAAUUCCUAGUAAACGCAAGUCAUCAGCUUGCAUUGAUUACGUCCCUGCCCUUUGUACACACCGCCCGUCGCACCUACCGAUUGAAUGGUCCGGUGAAAUCUCGGGACGGCGGCUAGGUCGCUUGCGUCCGACUGCUGAAACUUGAUUAAACCAUAUCAUUUAGAGGAAGGUGAAGUCGUAACA
Molecule: ribosomal RNA, 320 nt
Filed under: uncultured eukaryote
Lineage: Eukaryota
Description: partial 18S ribosomal RNA
Rfam family: Eukaryotic small subunit ribosomal RNA
Source: RNAcentral